GCCUCUGACUCCUCCCCUCCUAUGUCUAGACUUGUUUGACAUUGCAGCAGACAUUGCAGGUGACUGACUGAUCUACAAGUCACCUUGCAAAAUAAAUCACUACUUAGAAUUAUUUGUAGAUCAGUCAGUCAGUCACAAUUUACCCACAAUCCAUCACAGAUGUGAUGCUCUCGGACACAGCCUCUGACUACUGCAACACUCUCAGGGCUAUAGGAGGUGAUGUGAAAAAACACCCAGGAAUUAUCUAGCAAGGUUAUCAAAAUAGUUUUCUUCUGCCUUUCUUGGCUCCAGCUGUCAUAACAAUGUCCAACUAGAGGGUUGUUUAACUUUUAGUAAAUCUUGUGUGAAAUUAAUUAAUUAAUGAAUGAAUUAAUUAAUGACUAGCCUCCUGAACCUGUGACUGUAAUAUGUGACUUUCUCUUUCUCUCUGUAGUUAGCAUUAGGACAGGGCUGACACUAAAUGACUAAACUCAUUAGAUGUUUUUCUAACUCACCUGUGAAGAUAUAUUAAUGCACUGCACAUUGUGGGGGUGAUGGCUGGAUGGAUGACUGGCAGGAUGGACUAUAGCUGGAUGGAUGAUGGCUGGCUGGAAGGCUGGCUGGAUUGAUGGAUAAUGGAUGGAUGAUGGAUGGAUGGAUGAUUGAUUGAUGGAUGGAUGAUGGGUAGAUUGAUGGAUGAUGUAUAUAUGGAUAGAUGAUGGAUAGAUUGAUGAUGGCUUGAUGGAUGGAUGGAUGGAUGGAUGGAUAGAUGGCUGGAUGGAAUGAUGGCUGAAUGGAUGGCUGGAUGAUGGAUGACUGGCUGGCAGCGGCAUCUUUGCCAACUCUGCAAAGUGGCAGAACUCAGGUGAUGCUGUGUGUGUGUGUGUGUGUGUGUGUGUGUGUGUGUGUGUGUGUGUGUGUGUGUGUGUGUGUGUGUGUGUGUGUGUGUGUGUGUGUGUUUUUGAAGUGGGGGUGAACCUAUUACCUUGUAAUGUGAUACAGUUUGUUUUGUCAAUUCCGUUAUGUGUGCAAAGUAAACCUAACCUUGCCUCAUUAAAUAAUGAUUGAGUUUAUCAGGUUGGACUGAGUCAAUCAUUCAUUCGCAGGCAGAGCAGGGUAGCAUUUCAAAUGGCACCCUAUUCCCUAUAUAGUGCACUACUUUUGACCAGGGCCCCAUAGGGUAGCACACUAUAUAGGGAUGUGUGAUUUGGA
RNAcentral lists this long non-coding RNA (1191 nucleotides) under Salmo salar (Atlantic salmon). RNAcentral describes it as "lncRNA (ENSSSAG00000119981.1)". Lineage: Eukaryota; Metazoa; Chordata; Actinopteri; Salmoniformes; Salmonidae. The record is from RNAcentral.